CCUCCCAGAGCCCACCCACAGGGAACAGGGGAUAGCUCAACUCAAGUGCAUGAGACCAGCAGUUUGAUCUGAGUACAACCAAUGAAUUGAUCUGAAUGUGACCAUAUGAGUAAGACAGCCAUGAUCAUCUUCCCAGUGGAAAGGCCACCAGUAGUUAACAGUUUUGAAUCAACAAUACACCUGCAAAUGAGGACUGAAACAGUACACAGAUCUCAGCAGUGGAAUCAUUUCUUCAAAACUAAAUAUUAUGUAGUUAUGAUAUAAGGAUUGUGGUAAUCAUAAAAAGAUAUUGUGCAUCAGAGCUGACACGUGGAAGAUACAGGGAAAUCUCAGAGGUGAUCUCUACCUUCAAAGGAGUCAAGUCUCAAACAAAGAAAAAUAUAAUGCAUACUUAAGGAAAAUAAUAAGAAGCAAAAUAUCAAUGAUUGUAAUAAUUAAGGGAGGCUGGGGGAGUAGAUUGGAGUUGAUAAGUAGUUUGUGAAAAAGCUUCAAAGGAAGGAUAGAGUGGAUAUGGAUAUGUAUAGGAGGGGGUAGGUGAUGUCUGCAGUCAAGUGGGCUUGUAGAAUGUCAUACACUUCUAGAAUAUCAGUCUGAAGGAUAAAGGGGGUUGUGUCCUGGGUGGAGACUGUCCAGUAAGUUCCAGACCCACAUAAACUGAAUUUUGAGAUAAGGAUACAGUAACAGUAAGGAUCUCAGGGACUUGAACAGGGCAAACCAAAGAAGUGACCACUGCCCACUGUGCAAUGGCUUUGUAGGCACCAAGAAUAACCCAAGGGUAAAUGUUCAGUCUACAGCUUGGUCAAUAUCCUGCCAGUGGCUGCUGGCUCUGAACCCACUGAGAUAGUGUGUUUUCUCAAGCUUGGCUCAAAAAUGCAGAUACUCCUUGACAUACAAUGGGGUUACAAUCCAACAAACUGGUCAUAAACUGAAAAAUUCUAAGCCAAAUCAUGGAAGGUCAGGGACCAUCUGUACAGGUUAGAUGAGAUUGUCACUCAGUGUCAAAAGUGGAACAGGGUGCAGAAGUCAGACUGUGGCUAAUAGAUGAAGAACUAAAAAGUUAAGGACAACAACAGUCAGUGAUGGUGGAAAAUGCAUAUAACUCCAUUGAGAGGGAACUGGGAACCUACAAUAAAUAUGGCACCAUUAAUUU
Molecule: long non-coding RNA, 1150 nt
Organism: Pan troglodytes (chimpanzee)
Lineage: Eukaryota; Metazoa; Chordata; Mammalia; Primates; Hominidae
Exons: 3
Source: RefSeq, a predicted model, not a curated record